Molecule: long non-coding RNA, 542 nt
Filed under: Gallus gallus (chicken)
Lineage: Eukaryota; Metazoa; Chordata; Aves; Galliformes; Phasianidae
Source: RNAcentral
UUUUGAUCUUUGAUUUAGCUGCAAUGAGCUUAUGUUUCUCAAAUGUGACUGACACCCAGAAGGGAGCACUUCCACUCCAUUCACAUCCUGACUGCCCAGUUGUCUCAGUUUUUUAGGUUGCUCCUUAGUCACAGGGAACUCUCCUUGUCGCUUCUUGCUUAUGGUGUCAUCUUUCUCUUCCAAAUGCCAAGUAAGCUUGGAUACAGGAACUACAUGCGUCAAGUCUUCCUCCAGCUUUCUAAGGUUGUGGCAAUAUUUUGAUGGGUCAUACUUCACAAUUUUAUUUUUCUGUUGAUUCCUAAGGUGUAGGAUAGGUAGGACUCUGCCAAAUUUACCCACAAUCCAAUUCUUAUGGUCUGGCACCUCUGUACCUGGUACUGCUCUCAUAUGGAAGUCUGUAACUCCAGCCUUUUUCAGUGAUUCUAGAAGAACUGUUUCAUCAUUUCGCCGUGGCUUUUCUUUCUGCAGCUUUGCUUCCUCUCUUUCCACAGCAAGCCUAUGUAAAAAGCUUUCUUUGGCAAAUUCAAUUUGCAGUGUCUUCC